This 253-nucleotide ribosomal RNA is filed under the name uncultured bacterium. RNAcentral's name for it is "partial 16S ribosomal RNA". It matches the Rfam family "Bacterial small subunit ribosomal RNA", at positions 524 to 776 of the family's 1533-position model. The record is from RNAcentral.
UACAGAGGGUGCAAGCGUUGUUCGGAAUUAUUGGGCGUAAAGGGCGCGUAGGCGGUGCGGUAAGUCUGUAGUGAAAUCUCUGGGCUCAACUCAGAGUCUGCUGCAGAAACUGCCGUGCUUGAGUGUGGGAGAGGUGAGUGGAAUUCCCGGUGUAGCGGUGAAAUGCGUUGAUAUCUACAGGAACUCCGGUGGCGAAGGCGGCACGCUGGACCUUUUCUGACGCUGAGGAGCGAAAGCGUGGGGAGCGAACAGG